Molecule: ribosomal RNA, 539 nt
Filed under: uncultured bacterium
Lineage: Bacteria
Description: bacterial LSU rRNA
Rfam family: Bacterial large subunit ribosomal RNA
Source: RNAcentral
CGAACGGGGACCAGCCGAGACCGUGAAAAUGACCAGAAUGUGCUGGAAAGCACAGCCAUAGUGGGUGACAGCCCCGUAUGGGAAGUUUGAUCGGACGUAUUAAGUAGGGCGGGACACGUGAAAUCCUGUCUGAAGAUCGGGGGACCACCCUCGAAGGCUAAGUACUCCUUACUGACCGAUAGCGAACCAGUACCGUGAGGGAAAAGGUGAAAAGCACCCCGACGAGGGGAGUGAAACAGUUUCUGAAACCGGACGCCUACAAGCAGUCGGAGCCUCCUUGAGAGGUGACGGCGUACCUUUUGUAUAAUGGGUCAACGACUUGGUCUAUCUAGCAAGCUUAAGCCGGUAGGUGUAGGCGCAGCGAAAAGCGAGUCUUAAAUGGGGCGACUUAGUUAGAUGGAUCAGACCCGAAACCAGAUGAUCUAGGCAUGAGCAGGAUGAAGGUUGGGUAACACCAACUGGAGGUCCGAACCCACACCUGUUGAAAAAGGUCGGGAUGACUUGUGCCUAGGGGUGAAAGGCCAAUCAAAUCUGGAGAU